CCUACGGGAGGCAGCAGUGGGGAAUAUUGCACAAUGGGCGCAAGCCUGAUGCAGCGACGCCGCGUGAGCGAUGAAGGCCUUCGGGUCGUAAAGCUCUGUCCUAAGGGAAGAAUAAUGACGGUACCUUAGGAGGAAGCCCCGGCUAACUACGUGCCAGCAGCCGCGGUAAUACGUAGGGGGCGAGCGUCAUCCGGAAUCUCUGGGCGUAAAGGGUGCGUGGGCGGCCCUGUAAGUCUGGCGUUAAAUCCCUCGGCUCAACCGAGUUCAGCAUGUGCAACGGUAGGGCUGUGGUGCAGGAGGGGAGAGCGGGAGUCCUAGUGUAGCGGUGAAAUGCUUAGAUAUGAGGGGGAAGACCAGUGGCGAAGGCGGCUCUGUUGACUGCAACGGACGCUGAGGCAGGAAAGCGUGGGGAGCGAACAGGAGUAGAAACCCUUGUAGUC
This 440-nucleotide ribosomal RNA is filed under the name uncultured bacterium. RNAcentral describes it as "bacterial SSU rRNA". It matches the Rfam family "Bacterial small subunit ribosomal RNA", at positions 338 to 795 of the family's 1533-position model. The record is from RNAcentral.